CCGCAGAGGGCAGAGAUUAGCGAUGUCUACCACAGCUUCACGCCCAGGAAACGCGCUGUAUCUGCACCGUCCAGUAGGGAUGGCAUCAGGCACGUGGGGUCACUGAGUCCUGGAGGUGCACACGGUGCAGCCGGCUUCUCAUGCCAUUCAACUUUGGAUAAAUUUAAAUAUCAAUAGCUAUGUGUGACUCAUGCUGGACAGUAGAUGUAGAAAGUUUCCAUCAUCACAGAAGACUCUGCUGGUCGGUGCUGGUCUAGAGGGAGCAGUCAGGGUCCUGGGGAGUGAAGGGAGAUCCCCACAGUGGACGUGGGAGGACUCAGAGCCUUCUCUGUCCAGCUCAGGACUCUAACUCCUCCUCCUUCUGAUUCCUCCCUCCCAGGACCCACGCAGAGGCCGUCGGACAACAGUCACAAUGAGCGUGAGUGAUGGGGGCCGUGGAGCAUGAAGCUGGUGUGUGCCUCUUGGGGAAGGAGAAAGAGGUCAGGCUUUGGGGUUGAUCAGAUUCCUGCUCUGCCAAUGGCCGUCUGUGUCACUGUGCAGAGGACUCCAGCACUCAGGACCCCGGUGGUGGAAGAAGGGGAUAACGAUCCCUGUGCUGCAGGACUAUUAUUUACCUAAGAUAUUUUAUAUAUUAGUAAGUCUAUGAAACGCACAUGAAAUGUGUGUGGUAUACAGUAGGUGCUCAAUAAAUGCGCACUGCUGAAAUCCUGUUUCUGUCUUUCUUAGAUGCACCUGCUUCCCAAGGCCUGAAAGCUGAGCAUCUUUAUAUUCUCAUCGGGGUCUCAGUGGUCUUCCUCUUCUGUCUCCUCCUCCUGGUCCUCUUCUGCCUCCAUCGCCAGAAUCAGAUAAAGCAGGGGCCCCCCAGAAGCAAGGACGAGGAGCAGAAGCCACAGCAGAGGCCCGACCUGACUGUUGAUGUUCUAGAGAGGACAGCAGACAAGGCCACAGUCAAUGGACUUCCUAAGAAGGACAGAGAGACGGACAGCUCGGCCCUGGCUGCAGGGAGUUCCCAGGAGGUGACGUAUGCUCAGCUGGACCACUGGGCCCUCACACAGAGGACAGCCCGGGCUGUGUCCCCACGGUCCACAAAGCCCAUGGCCGAGUCCAUCACGUAUGCAGCCGUUGCCAGACACUGACCCCAUACCCACCUGGCCUCUGCACCUGAGGGUAGAAAGUCACUCUAGGAAAAGCCUGAAGCAGCCAUUUGGAAGGCUUCCUUUUGGAUUCCUCUUCAUCUAGAAAGCCAGCCAGGCAGCUGUCCUGCAGACAAGAGCUGGAGACUGGAGGUUUCUAACCAGCAUCCAGAAGGUUCAUUAGCCAGGUGGUCCCUUCUACAAUCGAGCAGCUCCUUGGACAGACUGUUUCUCAGUUAUUUCCAGAGACCCAGCUACAGUUCCCUGGCUGUUUCUAGAGACCCAGCUUUAUUCACCUGACUGUUUCCAGAGACCCAGCUAAAGUCACCUGCCUAUUCUAGAGACCCAGCUACAGCCAAUCAGCCGAUUUCCUGAGCAGUGAUGCCACUUCCAAGCUUGUCCUAGGUGUCUGCUGUGAACCUCCAGUGACCCCAGAGACUUUGCUGUAAUUAUCUGCCCUGCUGACCCUAAAGACCUUCCUAGAAGUCAAGAGCUAGCCUUGAGACUGUGCUAUACACACACAGCUGAGAGCCAAGCCCAGUUCUCUGGGUUAUGCUUUACUCCAUGCAUCAAUAAAUAAUUUUGAAGGCCUCACA
RNAcentral lists this small RNA (1729 nucleotides) under Pan troglodytes (chimpanzee). RNAcentral's name for it is "retained intron". Lineage: Eukaryota; Metazoa; Chordata; Mammalia; Primates; Hominidae. The record is from RNAcentral.